CAAAUAUUUUACAGAACACCAGAAGAUUAUUAUUCCCAACUACAAAAGACUACUCUUUUUUUGUUUCAAAUUAAGAAAAGCUACUCAGAAUUGCAUUUUUAUUUCCAAAAAUCCACUCAACAAUACACUGGGUUAAAAAAUCCAUGAUUAUUGAUAUCGGAUCAUUCUCUUGUAUCAUGCUUAAUUACACCAACAUAAAAUACACUUAGUGUCAGAAUAUGGAGAAUGAACAGAGUGCAUCUUCAAUACCCAAAAUGUAUUAAAUAUGUAAAUAAAAAAAUAAAGACCUUUACCAUAAAAAAAAUUGACAUAGAGGCCAGAAACAAAUGAUCUAAUGAUUCUAUCUCUUCGCAGAAACAUCUGCAGAGCUGGGAUGGUUGUAUCCCCAACAUACUGUAUAUAACAUUCUAUUGGUUGUAUCCCCAACAUACUGUAUAUAACAUUCUAUUGGUUGUAUCCCCAACAUACUGUAUAUAACAUUCUAUUGGUUGUAUCCCCAACAUACUGUAUAUAACAUUCUAUUGGUUGUAUCCCCAACAUACUGUAUAUAACAUUCUAUUGGUUGCAAUAAUUGUUUUAUAACUAUCUAAGUUUGAAUCCAGAGUUGUUUUGUGUAUCAGUUCGGUACAUACUGAUGACGUUAAUGUUGAUGUAGCCGAGAUUGCUGUGGCGGAGAGCUCAGGGGCGGGCGUGUUAGUGACUGAACUCCCAGCAGUGGUUACCGAGGGCAGUGGCAAUGCUGACUCCAAGGCUGAUACGCCUGUCUCACAGACAACAGAGAAUGAUGUGCCCAGUGUAAUUACAGACACGCAGGGUGAUGUGCCCAGUGUAAUUACAGACACGCGGGGUGAUGUGCCCAGUGUAAUUACAGACACACAGGGUGAUGUGCCCAGUGUAAUUACAGACACGCGGGGUGAUGUGCCCAGUGUAAUUACAGACGCGCGGGGUGAUGUGCCCAGUGUAAUUACAGACGCACAGGGUGAUGUGCCCAGUGUAAUUACAGACACACAGGGUGAUGUGCCCAGUGUAAUUACUGAUACGCGGGGUGAUGUGCCCAGUGUAAUUACAGACACACAGGGUGAUGUGCCCAGUGUAAUUACAGACACACAGGGUGAUGUGCCCAGUGUAAUUACAGACACGCAGGGUGAUGUGCCCAGUGUAAUUACAGACACGCGGGGUGAUUGUGGGGAGGAGUUGGAGGCAGUUGGGGGGCAGCUGGGGGCUCCGGAUUCCGUGGGGCUGCCCGAUGAGGAUAGAGGAAUGGAGGAACUGUAAAACAGAUUCCACACUAGAUAGGAACUGGGAAGAAGCUCAUCCACAGUUGGAGGUGGCCUUAACCAAUGUGUUGAAACAGCAUGGACUAGUAGACGUGUGGAGACAGGAUCUAUACAUGUGUGAAGGUAGUGAAGGGGAAGAUUAGUGCAGCAAGGCUACAUAGGAUCUAUGUCAGUAAGGGAGAAAGAGGGUUUUGGGCUCCAAGAUUUGCUCUAGUGGCAUCUCAGAAACAUCACAUGUUAAGAACUCCUGUUCUUUCCAUGACAUAGACUGACCAGAUGGAAGAUAUGAUCCCUUAUUGAUGUCACUUGUUAAAUGCACUUCAAUCAGUGUAGAUGAAAGGGAGGAGACAAGUUAAAGAAUGAUUUUUGAGCAGUACUCUGCGCCAGCUAGGAUAAGGUCUACUAUUCAGAGGUUGGAGCCGGAUAUUAGAGACAUUGACUCAGGGUCAGAGACGAAGUUUGAGGGCUAAGCGGACGCAGCUGGGGUCUUUUUUACAAGAUCAGGCAUCCUUCAGGGUCUCUGACGUUGGAUCCAACAGAGAUGAGGAGGAUGACUAUGGUCUUCUACGCAGACCUCUACGGUGACAGCAACACUGUGUGCUCAGGAGAAUUUAGAGGGGUCGCCUAAGCUCAGGCCUGAGCAGAGUGUUGGGCUGGAGGGGGAACUUUAGUUUCAGGAACUAACAGUCGCUGUGCAGCAGCUCUCCCCAGGCUGUGUGCCAUGGGUCGAUGGGCUGACAUCUGAGUAUUAUAACUCUGUGCUACCAGUCAGCUGCCAGUGGGUAGUGCUGUCACUGCUGCCGAACAAUGGGGACUUCCCUAUAUUGAAGAACUGGAGGCUGGUGUCAUUGCUUGGCUUGCAUUACAUGGUGUUUGGCAAAUCGGCUGAAAGGUUGUUUGGACACAAUAGUUCACAGGGUCCAGGCAUACUGUGUGCCUGGGCGGACAAUAAUGGACAACGUGUUUCUUUUGAGAGAUGUGGGAGAUCCAGGCUGUAUCACAUCCAGCCGUGAUUGGGAGUCCCAUAGGGCGGUGCACAAUUGGCUCAGCGUCGUCUGAGUUUGGCCAGAGUAGGCCGUCAUUGUAAAUAAGAAUUUGUUCUUAAUUGACUUGCCUAUUUAAAUAAAGGUUACAUUUUUUAAAAUGUGAUAGACAUCACUAGGAUGUAUGAUCAGGAUCUGGGACUCACUUCGAUAGAUCUAGAAAAGGCUUUUGGUAGAGUGUGUCAUGCGUAUCUGUUUGGAAGUGUUUGGCCUGGGUAGCAGGUUUAGAUCAUGGGUCAAGUUAUUGUACUGUGGGGCUUCUGUUAUGGUAAAAGUGGGGGUCAGCUGAGCCAGCCAGUCCCAGUUAAGAGAGGGAUUUGGCAGGGGUGUCCACUCUCGAGUCAGCUCUACAGUUUAGCCGUAGAAACACUGCUGUGUAGGCUGAGGGAGUGGCUGCGGGGGGUUGUAGGCUGAGGGAGAGGCUGCAGGGGUAGUUUGGUGAGGGAGAGGCUGCAGGGGUUGUAGGCUGAGGGAGAGGCUGCAGGGGUUGUCAGUUCCAGGGGUAGUAGGCUGAGGGAGAGGCUGCAGGGGUUGUCAGUUCCAGGGGUAGUAGGCUAAGGGGGAGGCUGCAGGGGUUGUCAGUUCCAGGGGUAGUAGGCUGAGGGAGAGGCUGCAGGGGUUGUCAGUCCCAGGUGUAGUAGGCUGAGGGAGAGGCUGCAGGGGUUGUCCGUUCCAGGGGUAGUAGGCUGAGGGAGAGGCUGCAGGGGUUGUCAGUUCCAGGCGCAGUAGUUGG
RNAcentral lists this long non-coding RNA (3053 nucleotides) under Salmo salar (Atlantic salmon). RNAcentral's name for it is "lncRNA (ENSSSAG00000081737.1)". Lineage: Eukaryota; Metazoa; Chordata; Actinopteri; Salmoniformes; Salmonidae. The record is from RNAcentral.